CGAACACACGCCUGUUGAAAUAGUCGGUGAUGAUUUGUGGUUAGCGGAGAAAUUCCAAUCGAAUCCGGAUAUAGCUGGUUCUCCUCGAAAUAGCUUUAGGGCUAGCCUGUCGCAAGAAUACCGAAGGUAGAGCACUGUAUGGUCUAGGGGGUUUCACGACCUACCGAAACUUAACAAACUUCGAAUGACGGAUAUUUGAUGCGAUGGAGUCAGACGGCGACAGAUAAGUGCCGUCGUCAAAAGGGAAACAGCCCAGAUCCACAGCUAAGGUCCCAAAGUACAGGUUAAGUGGUAAACGAUGUGUCAUUGCAUAAACAACCAGGAUGUUGGCUUAGAAGCAGCCACACAUUCAAAGAGUGCGUAAUAGCUCACUGGUCGAGUGAUGAUGCGCGGAAGAUUACCGGGGCUAAAACCUGACACCGAAGCUUGGGGAUACGAGUAAUCGUAUCGGUAGAGGAGCAAUGUAUAAAGGCAGAAGUUGAAUCGGAAGAUUCAAUGGACGAAAUACAAGAGAGAAUGCCGGCAUAAGUAGCGAGAGAGAGGCGAGAAACCUCUCCGUCGAGAGUCUGAGGUUUCCUGGGGAAGGUUCGUCCGCCCAGGGUUAGUCGGGGCCUAAGUCGAGGUCGAAAGGCGUAGAUGAUGGACAACCGGUGCAAAUUCCGGUACUACCGAAAUUCGUAUAAAUGAUUGCAGUGACACAGGAAGAUAGUCGGACCGAGCGGAUGGAAAAGCUCGGCCAAGGCGUAACGAGGGCAUAGAGUGAAGUACCUAUGUAGGAAUCGGUGCGCUGAUGGGGACGUGAAGACAAGUAAAUAAGCCGACGAAUCUACACUGGCGAGAAAAGCUGCUAAAUAAGGAUGGAGGUACCCGUACCGCAAACCGACACAGGUAGACGCGAAGAAAAUUCAAAGACGAACGGGAGAACCCUUGUUAAGGAACUCGGCAAAAUGACCCCGUAACUUCGGGAGAAGGGGAGCCAACGCGAGUUGGUCGCAGUGAAGAGGUCCAAGCAACUGUUUACCAAAAACACAGGUCUCUGCGAAAUCGAAAGAUGACGUAUAGGGGCUGACGCCUGCCCAGUGCCGGAAGGUUAAGGGGAGAUGUGCAAGCAUUGAACUUAAGCCCCGGUGAACGGCGGCCGUAACUAUAACGGUCCUAAGGUAGCGAAAUUCCUUGUCGGGUAAGUUCCGACCCGCACGAAAGGCGUAAUGAUUUGGACGCUGUCUCAACAGGGGGCCCGGCGAAAUUGUAGUAUACGUGAAGAUGCGUAUUAACCCGCGACUGGACGGAAAGACCCCGUAGAGCUUUACUGUAACUUGAUAUUGGAACACGACAACGAAUGCACAGGAUAGGUGGGAGGCUGAGAAGUAAGUGCUUUGGCAUUUACGGAGCCGCUGUUGGGAUACCACCCUUUCAUUGUUGGGUUUCUAACGGACAGCCGUGAACCGGUGUACGGACAGUGUCAGGUGGGCAGUUUGACUGGGGCGGUCGCCUCCUAAAGAGUAACGGAGGCGCCCAAAGGU
This 1523-nucleotide ribosomal RNA is filed under the name human metagenome. RNAcentral's name for it is "bacterial LSU rRNA". It matches the Rfam family "Bacterial large subunit ribosomal RNA", at positions 775 to 2317 of the family's 2925-position model. The record is from RNAcentral.